This is a non-coding RNA of Pseudonaja textilis, 219 nucleotides long. The record is from RefSeq and is a predicted model, not a curated record. Lineage: Eukaryota; Metazoa; Chordata; Lepidosauria; Squamata; Elapidae.
AAUACCAUCAUUCCAGACACUCUUCUAAGUAAAUUAAACCAACCAGCAGUACCUGAACACACUUGUAAGUGGAUCAUAAGCUUCCUAACAGACAGGAAGCAGCAGGUGAAGCUAGGUAGAAUCACAUUCGAUACCUGUACAAUCGGCACAGGGCCCUCCCAAGGCUGUGUGCUUUCUCCACUUCUCUUCUCCCUAUACAGGGAUUGCAUCUUAAAAGAU